This 634-nucleotide long non-coding RNA is filed under the name Mytilus galloprovincialis (Mediterranean mussel). Lineage: Eukaryota; Metazoa; Mollusca; Bivalvia; Mytilida; Mytilidae. The record is from RNAcentral.
AUAUAUAUAUGCUUAUGUUUAAAAGUCUGUUGUAAAUAGAUCCUAUAUAACCAUGCCCAAUUCUUCAGAUAUUAAAGUUAAAACAUGAUGUGUGUGUGUGUGCAUUUAUUACCAUACUUUCCAUGUAAACUAUUUUUAUCAACAACAAAAAAACAACAUAAAUUGUGCAUGGUGUAUGUGAAUUUAUCUUUUCUAAACAAACAAAAAGUUCCAAAGUUCAACAACAAUAUUGGACAAUGGGAGAUAACUCCAAUAAUUGAAGCUCAAAUUAAAAAUUGAAAGUAGUCUUAUAUUUCCCUUCAGUGCUGACAAGCACUCUGUUUGUUUGUUUGUGUAGUGUUUGUGUUCAUAUAUUCUGUAUAUGCUUAUGUUUUAUAGUCUGUUGUAAAUUGAUCAUAUAUAACCAUGCCCAAAUUCUUCAGACAUUAAAGUUAAAACAUGAUGUGUGUGUGUGCAUGUAUAACCAUACUUUCCAUGUAAACUAUUUUUACAUGUAUCAACAUCAAAAACAGCAUAAAUUGUGCAUUGUGUAUAUGAUCUAUCUUUUCUAUAAAUGUGCUAAAGGUUGUAAAAGCUUCUUUGAGUUCAUGAUACUUGUUUGUUAUGUACAUGUAUAUACUGAGUUGUGCCAAAC